RNAcentral lists this ribosomal RNA (252 nucleotides) under uncultured bacterium. RNAcentral's name for it is "partial 16S ribosomal RNA". It matches the Rfam family "Bacterial small subunit ribosomal RNA", at positions 524 to 776 of the family's 1533-position model. The record is from RNAcentral.
UACGUAGGGGGCAAGCGUUGUCCGGAAUUAUUGGGCGUAAAGCGCGCGCAGGCGGUUUUUUAAGUUUGGUGUUUAAACCUAGGGCUCAACCUUGGGUCGCAUCGGAAACUGGGGAACUGGAGUGUAGGAGAGGAAAGUGGAAUUCCACGUGUAGCGGUGAAAUGCGUAGAGAUGUGGAGGAACACCAGUGGCGAAGGCGACUCUUUGGCCUGUAACUGACGCUGAGGCGCGAAAGCGUGGGGAGCAAACAGG